This 4196-nucleotide long non-coding RNA is filed under the name Oryctolagus cuniculus (rabbit). Its description in RNAcentral is "lncRNA (ENSOCUG00000035869.1)". Lineage: Eukaryota; Metazoa; Chordata; Mammalia; Lagomorpha; Leporidae. The record is from RNAcentral.
CCGUACACACAACCCGGACCUCGGAAUCCCAGCAGGCUGGCCCGACCCCCGCCCCCCCACCAUGAGCGCCGCCGCUGGCUGCAGGCAGAGUCGCUGCCGCCCCGGCCCGCCGCUGGCUCCAGUCCGCCGCCAUUAUUCUUUGUUCGCUGCGAGCGGCGGCGAUGUUGUGGGGCUCGGGCGGAGGCUCCAUCUUUACCGCGGCCCCUCCUGCGAGGGGAAGGCCCCGAGCGCGGGUGUCCGGCGCCUCCCCGUCCCCCCUCCGUCCCCCCGGCUCUCUCCGGCUCCUGCCUCCUCCUCCUGCUCCUCUUACCGGUGGUACAAGCUCCUCCGUCACUGCUUUCGUUCGCGGCCCGGAUCUCGCUGGAGUUUUAUUCUCUCCCCCACGUAACACACCGCGUCAAACUACACCUCCGCCGCGUCACUCACCAACACUCCGCUUCUCCCAGCCGCCCGGGCCACAGGCAGCAGCAGCCGCCGCCGACUGAGGAGCCGCAGCCAGGGAGCCAGCCAGCGCCGCCCAGUGCCGAGUGCGCAGCGGCUGCGCACGGAAACAGCCGAGCGCGGCCCGGAGCGGCUCGAGCGGCCCCGCCCCCGCGUUGGAGGCGGAACUUGCCGAAGGCCUUCGGGCUCCUUCGCGCCAGGCGGAGCGGGGCUCAGCGGGGAAGGGGCCGGGCGGCGAGGGCUGAGACCCGUGCGGGGAGGAGCGCUCUCUACCCCGGCGUGGCGUUCGGGGCGCUGAAACCCCGCGGCGGAAAUUUGCAGGAGGAAGCGGGGUUGGUGUGUGACCCGGUGGGGGAAUUCCCAAGGGUUCUAGGUGACUGGCUGGAAACCCCCCGCAGGCCUACCCCGAGGCGCUCCAUUUAAUCUGAAAGAGACGAAGACCUCUGAAGCUUUGUGGACUUCCCAGGUCCCAACGUCAGAACUGAGGAAGAACUGAUCAGCAAGAUUCUUGUGUGUUUUAUUUAUUACUUGAGGACCAAAUGAUAAGGUACUAGUGCUGCUGCCUUCUUCACCUGCCCCAUGUCAUCGUGGAAGCAAAGUCAAAUGACCUAACUCUUAGAAAGUGCAAGAAAGAUCAUUUGUUGACAAUGAAAACCAGUAAUGCCAGCAAGUAUUUAUUGAGUGCUUACCUUAUGCUAAGUACUUUCUGAUGUAUUAACUAAUUUAAUCCUCCUAACAACCAAGUGAGUGGAAUAUUAAUAUUAGGAACAUUCUACAGAUGAUUAACCUGAAGCCAGAGAGGAAAUAUGUCUGAGGUCUUAGAGCUAGCAAGUGGCAGACACAGAAUGUGAACCCAGGGAGUCUGACCCUGGAGCCUGCAUUCUUAGCAUUCUGUGUUCCAUUGCCUGCUUGCAGAAUGAAAGGGGGAAGGGGCUUUGCUUGAAAAAGAAAGCAAUUAUGACUCCACCAAUAUAAUUCUGUCAUUCUGAAGCACCAUAGUAACCCAAGAACAUUCUCCUGGUGUCAGCCCUGUUGCUAUUUUCAUGUGUGACACAAGAAUCAGGCUCUCUGGCUUCCAAGAUGCCUUGUCAGUUUUCCGAGGCAAAGAAGUGGCCUCCUUGAAAUGUGUUGCCAAACACCUCCCCUUCAUCUUUGCUUCACAAGCUCAUGCUUUUUAGCUGUUCUCUAGAGGGUGUAUCAUUAACUCAGACCCCUCCCUAACUCCCUCUGCCCUCUCCUCCCAAAUCAACACCCUGGUCUGAACUAGGUGCCUAAACUCUGUUUCUAUUUCCAUCAAAGCACCUGUCACACUUUUCAUUAUUUGUCUGCUUCUCUACUAACUCUAACCUCUGUGUGAUCAGGGAUUGUGUCUGUCUUAAUUCAUUGCUGUAUUCUUUAAUUUUUUUUUAAAAAAUUAUUUAUUUGAAAGGCAGAGUUACAGAGAGGGGGAGGCAGAGGCAGGGAGAGAGGGAAAUCUUCCAUCUGCUGGUUCAAUUCCCAAGUGGCCACAAUGGCCAUGGUUGUGCCAGAUGGAAGGCAGGAGCCAGGAGCUUCUUCCAGGUUUCCAAUGUAGGUGCAUGGGCUCAAGCACUUGGGCCAUUUUCUGCUGUUUCCCAGGCACAUUAGCAGGGAGCUAGAUUGAAAGUGGAACAGGCAGUACUCAAACUGACACCCAUAAGGGAUGCUGGCACUGCAGGCUGCAGCUUAACUUGCUAUGCCACAGUGACAGUCCCAUUGCUGUAUUCUUAAUGCUUAACAUGGUGUUUGGCACAUUGAAGAGGUUGAAUAGAUUUUUUUUUUUUGAUGAAUGAAAGUGGUAUUUUUGUAAAAUAUCUGUGAUCAAAACCAUACAUUGGGACCUGUGCUGUGGUGUAGUGGAUAAAACCUCCACCCUCAGUGCUGGCAUUCCAUAUGGGCGCCGGUUCAAGUCCUGGCUGCUCCACUUCUGAUCCAGCUCUCUACUAAUGCAUCUGGGAAAGCAGCAGAGGAUGGCCCAAGUCCUUGGGCCCUGCACCCACAUGGGAGACCUGGAAGAAACUCCAGGCUCCUGGCUGAGGACUGGCACAGCUUCAGCUGCUGGGCCUAUUUGGGGAGUGAACCAGGGGAUGGAAAACCUCUCUCUCUCUCUGCCUCUCAAAUCAAUAAGUAAAUCUUUAAAGGAAUCUAUUAAAAAAUCAUAUAUUAAGGUGAAUUUUCUGUGGCUAAGAUAGUCCAUUUUUUUUAAGCUGGGUGGUAAAAAUACCAAUUUAAGUGUUAAAAUGAUCAUGUGGAUAAGAUUAAGUGUCUGGUAAUAAUAAUAGAUAGAAUUAAAAAGGGGUGAAUGCUCUAAAAUGAGAAGCAAUCCACACAGCAGACUCUUAGAAUGACAAUCACUUUAAAUAGCAGUCUGACCUCAGAAUCAGCCCUUAAGGCAUUCUGGUCUGGCUGACAGGCCCACAAGAGCAUUUCAGGCAUGGAAGGCCAGAACACUCAUGCAAAAAGUGUUCUUACAUGGAGAACCACAUGGAUGCAGGGGUCUAAGUGCUUGGGCCAUCUUCCUCUGCUUUCCUAGGCACAUUAGCAGGGAGCUGGAUUGGAAGUGGAGCAGCUGAGACUCGAACCAGCACCUAUAUGGGAUGGUGAUAUUACAUGUGACAGUUUAACCUGGUACACCCCAACACUGGCCCCACUAUUCCAUCUUUUUACAGAAAUGGAAAAUAUUUCUUUUUCUUUUUGCCUGCCUUCCAGCUGUUGAGUUUUCAUGUUAAGGUAUCAUUGCCAAUGCCAUAAUGGUACUUAGCAGUUAGUACCUCUUUCUGCAGCAGUGUCAACACCAUCCAACUGCCAUGUGAUAGGUGUCUUGCUAAGGUCUUUCACGUAUAUUGCUAAUUUAAAUUGAGAUAACUUCUCUGGGUUUCAGUUCCCUCAUAUAUUCAUGAUACCUAAUUGACCUGUAUGUGAUUACACUGUAAUUUUAAGAAUUGAGAUAUGAAUUUAGAACCUGGAAUUUUAACUUUAGCUUUCUUUUUAAAAAAAUGCACGAUGUUCUUCCUGUUCCCAUCUCUGAUCUUUGUCUACUAAUAGGGCUCAUAUCACUAAGUAACAAAUAUAUAUUUUAGAAUCUUAUCAUACAUACCUCCUUCAAAAACUUUUGCCCCCCCCCCCCCAUUUUCCUUGUUUAGUUAUUCCCUUCCUGUUUUUAUUCUGACAGCUUCUUUUGCAAACGAUGAUAACAUUCCUGGGGCCUGUCCUAAUCUAGUGUAUGGAUUGAGGGCAUUAGUGACAUUUGGUUAUCUCUAUUAUUUCUAUGCUAAUAUCAUAUCUAUAUCAGAAACAUCUGAGAAGAUUCUCAGAGAUUAGAAAACCAGGACAUAUACUAUUUGGGCUCCUGAUCAAUAAGGUCAUUCACUUUAUGCUUUUUGGUCUGCACUUUCCUGGCCCUUAUAUAAACACUUACAUUAGGCAGAACAAUACCCCGAGAAAGAUGUCCAUAUUGUGAUUCUUAGAACCCAUGAAUAUGUUCAUUGGCAAAAGAGACUUGGCAAAUAUAAUUAAGUUACAGAGUUUCAGAUGGGGAGAUUAUCCUGGAUUAUUUGGGUAGGUCCAAUACAGUCACAAAUUGCUAAGGAAAGGGGAAACAAGGGAGACAGAGGGAGAGAGAAAUUGGAAUUUGUUUAGCUAUGGCUUUGAAGAUGGCAGAUGCAGCCAUGAACCAAGGAAUGUCAACAGCCUCUUGGAGGAAUAAAAGGCAAAGCAAUAGAUUCUCUCCUGAAGUU